This is a long non-coding RNA of Oncorhynchus tshawytscha (Chinook salmon), 322 nucleotides long. The record is from Ensembl. Lineage: Eukaryota; Metazoa; Chordata; Actinopteri; Salmoniformes; Salmonidae.
CCGAGAGAGAGAGGUAGAAACCGAGAGAGAGAGGAAGAAACCGAGAGAGAGAGGAAGAAACCGAGAGAGAGGAAGAAACCAAGAGAGAGGAAGAAACCAAGAGAGAGGAAGAAACCAAGAGAGAGGAAGAAACCGAGAGAGAGAGGUAGAAACCGACAGAGAGAGGAAGAAACCAAGAGAGAGGUAGAAACCGAGAGAGAGAGGUAGAAACCGAGAGAGAGAGGUAGAAACCGAGAGAGAGAGAGGUAGAAACCGAGAGAGAGAGGAAGAAACCGAGAGAGAGAGGAAGAAACCGAGAGAGAGAGGAAGAAACCGAGAGAGA